Molecule: long non-coding RNA, 4351 nt
Filed under: Taeniopygia guttata (zebra finch)
Lineage: Eukaryota; Metazoa; Chordata; Aves; Passeriformes; Estrildidae
Description: lncRNA (ENSTGUG00000021400.1)
Source: RNAcentral
GAUGGUGUCUGUAGAAUUUAUGUAUAAAUUGUUGGUUGUGAUCCACACACAUUAUCAAAUUCCUGGUGCCAGGUAAAACUGGUAAUUUUUUAAUUGUAGUAUACCUAUAUCGUCUCAGAAACAGAGUUUGAAGAAUUGCUUGGAUGAAAGUGGGUAGCUGGCAUGAUUGUAGCAUAUAAAGAGCUAUUUCUUCAUAGACCUUUGUCUUUCUGGCAGCCUCCACUGCUAGUUUAAUUUAUGUAAGUGAAUGCAGAGAAAGAAAAGUUGUAAAACUGCUUGCUUACAGAGAGCAUAAUUCAAAUGGUGUAAUGAGAACUGCAUUUCAGUAUUUGAUAUAGUGCAUCCAUCUGAGAGAAGAACCACUCAAAAAAGCCAUUUUUCACCAUCUUAGGUUUCAGAUGCAAAUACGCUGACUGCUGAGGACUAAUGUUUUGUUAGUUGUCUUUGUAAUUUGAAUGUCACAGGCAAGCAGUGGAUGGUCCCAAUUAUAUGAUGUUGUGUAAGGGUCCCUUCUUGACCAUCAAGAAUCUCUAUCAGAAGGCUGUUUAGUGCUCCCUGUAUAAGCAUGACAGACAUGACUUUAACUAGAAACUACCCCAAAACUUUCUUUUAGUGUUCAGCAGUUAAAAGGAUCCAUUCCAGAGUAGGUCUCUGCAAGUGGCUAUGACAUAUAGCUUUAAUAAUUAGACCUGGCAUUCAUUUUGUUCUUCUCAUCUGACACUUCAGUAGUAGUUAGUUAAUAUAACACUAAGUGGCAGGUUUUUUACAUGCUACUGUAGGGGCAACUGAGAAAAUGAAGUUGCCUUUAAAUUACCUCAGAAUAGAAUGAAGAAGGAAGUCAAGCAGCCAGCCUGGUCAUUAGGAUCCUAACAAUCACAUUAAUGUAUCAGUGAAGAAUCGAAAUAAUCACAACUUGUGUAAUAAUCACAACUACAAGCCUGUUGCCCUGUAGGGAAGAAGUGAAUCUUAACACUCUGCCUCAAGAGACAGGUCUGAGCCAGGGGUCUGCUGUGAGGAGCUCAAUCCUCAUCAGAGAAUAUUUCACUACUUCUGGUGUGCUUAGAUAUGUGGCAGCUUCCCCUUUGCCUGCACUUCCUCUUUUAGUUGUUUUUUAGAAGACUCUUGAGGCGGUAAAAUAAGAUCUUUAGUGUUAGUCGUAGUUCACAGGAGGAAUCUGGCCUAAAUUCAUAGCAAUCUGAAGCAAUUGCGUGGGUAAAUCGAAGAACAAAAGCAAGAUAUGCAGAGCCCCCACUGCUCACAUUGUAAAGGGCAGGGCAACCAAAAUAGCAGACAAAGUCGGGGAGGCCUCCAUUAGGCCUUCAGCAACAUCCCUAGGUGCUCCUUGAAGGAGGAGUCCCUGUCAGCAAUCUGGGUUUUAUGGAAAGGCUCCAGCCCUUUUCUGAGAGCAGCGUGCAAUGCCUGAUCCAUCUGUCGAAACAAAGGAUCAAGGACUGAUAAUCAGGCAGAAGGACAUCCUGUGUUAUUUAAGAUUUUCAGAAAUUAGUAUUAAAAGUGGAGCAAUACACUGAAGACAAGAGCAUAAAAUCAGUUUAAGUCAAAGGUGAAGCUGCCAUAUUAAUUCUUCUUGCAGGGAAUUGUUCUCAGUACAAGCUGUUAAUUUAUGAGCUGCAUUAAAUACCAUUCUCAAGUUUGACCAUAAUGAAAGUCCUGAAGACUAGCUAGGUUCAGAUGAGGAUUAAAAGGGCCAUUACUGGGCAGUAGCAGAGUAUAUACAUUACCAAUGAUUUAAUUUUGUUUCUUCGUAUUUGUUACAAAUAAGAAGGAAAUCAAAUUAAUGUCUUUUCAUCUUGGCAAAUUUGUAGCUUGGUUUGCUAGGAGCUUACUGUUUCCUUUUAGAAGCAGUACACAGAGAAGUGUACUGACAAAGAGCCCAGUUCACUGGAGAUAGGAAACAAAACUCAGAGUAAUCCUCAGCCUGUCACAGAAGAUAAUGCCUUGCUCAGCAAUUUAUCUUAAGCACACAAGCUGAUACAGCUAUGAAGAGGAAUUCCUUCGCACUUCAGAGUUUCUGUGUGCCAGUCCAUCAUGUUUGAUUGUUUAAGCUUCAUGGACCUUAGAUGUAUGACUAGACAAUAUAGUCCUGUGCUUUGUAAGGAGUCACAACUGCCUUCAGAUUAGGUAUGUAUGAAAGGCUAUUAAAUAGCUCAUGUGCUAAGUGGAAAGUGUGUUGCACUCAUUCUGCUAUUUCCUUCCUGUUUCAUCUAAUGCAAAUCUCUUCUAUGCCUCAGCUUUCCCACUUGCGCCAAGUCAUGGAGCUAUUGCAAACAUAAACCAGAGCAUGUAAAGCUCUAGUGAAAUGAUGGGUACAUGUGCAUAGCAGUACUCAUAUGCAGAAGCACACUUGUAUAUGCAGAUUUCACUUAAUGAUAGCCAAUGCCAUGAUUUAACCAAAUAUUAGCAAAGAACUGAGGUGAGUUGUUCUGGUGUUCUGCCUCUGUAUUUUUCUGAAAUGCAGUGUAGAUGAUUGUCCUGGUUUUGGCCAAGGACAGGGUUAAUUUUUGGCAACAUUGGUUGGGGAGUGGCCAGACCCUAAUAUUAUACCAUAUCACCUCAGACCACUGCCAGGGACAGGCUAAGCGACUCUUUCUUCCAAGAAGAGUGAGAUUUCUGGAUGGGAGAAAGCAUGGUGGGGAAGAGUUGGUUGGGAUUCCUUGUGGGCUUUCCAUGUAAAUUAUUUCUAUGUCUUAAACAUUUUGGUUUUAAUAUUGCUGUUACUGUUAAUUUUCUUAUUGCACUGCUGUUUCCAGUAAAUUUUUCUUACCUCAACCUGAUUUUAACCUUUCGUGCCUCUGAUUCUCCUCUCCAUGCUGCUGGAGUGGGAAGUACGAGGGGAAGGUGUGGUGCUUGCCAGAGAAAGGGGGGGAGUGAAUGGCAAUUCAGUUUGGGAGAGACUUGUUGGGAGCAUUGAACUGGGGACUACCAUUCCCAAACCACAGAUAUGUACCAUAAGGAUGUUUACUUCUCUGUUAGUUGUAAGAUUCUGCAUUAAACAUGCUAGUCUAAAGAAGAUAAAACAGAAAUUACAUAUGUAUGAAGUUUAAUCCAACCACAUAAAUUGUGUAUCUGUUCAUUCUACUAGACUUACUGCAUUAGUAAGAUGCAUGUUUAAAAGAAAUGGAAGGGGUAAGCACAGAAUAUUAUGUCAUUAAAUGGAUUUCAAAUAGCCAUGGAAAAAUCCUUGGAGGUAAUUUUAUACAGCCUACUGCUCAGAGCAGGGCUCCUUUCAAAGAUAAAUCAGGCUUAUUGGCUGGGCAAGUUUUGUGUUUGCAACUUACAUCAGACUUUAUUACUCAAUUUUGAUUAACAUAUCUUUAUGAUGCUAGUUUCUUUUAGCAACGAGUUGACAAGGCUUUCUGGUACAAGGACACAAAACAAGGCAUUGUUCUCUGAAAAAAUAAAUGGAUUCAAAUGCAGAUGUCAGCCAUCAGAGUAAGAAUGAGUUCAUUGGCACAACUAGCAUAAUGCUUUCAAUGAAAAUAAAUAUAUUUCAGGACCUGACUCCUGAAGCAAGGUUUAUAUACUGACAUGGUUAAUACUGAGUCUUUUUCUUAACUCACAGCCUCAGUCAGUAGCUCCGAGACUCACAUUGUGCAUAGUCAGGUUACAUGGGAAAUCCAGCAAUAAUCUGGAUUUACUUUAUGUUGUUUGGAAGUCUCAUACACAUGCCUACUGUACUGGUCAUGCAAUAACAGCAUAAAUACAUUUCCAAAAGCUUCAAGCUAAGAGUGUGAGAAAAGGCCUUAAGGACGUAGUGUUGCCGACCUUCAAAUGUUUCUAUUCAGUUUUAUAGAACUAUGCCACUAAGAAUAUUUUUAAAAUCAAGAUUUCUCUUAAACUUAACAAAAUUAUGAUACAUUGCUGUGAUUGUGACAUUUACAUUGUGAUAGUGCUAAACCAUCUAUGUCCCAAAGAAGUGGAGAAUUUAUUAAAAGUGUAAGUUAAAGGAGAGAAAAAGGAAAGUGUCUUGGGCUGAUUAGUUGAUUCAUCCCAAUGACAAAAAGUAAAAAUCAACACAGCUUGUAUCAUUAUACCAUUUUGUCUUUAGGACAGAGGACUGGCAUAGAAGCUGAAUGUACUGUACUAAUCUGCCCAUCCCUUGCUGUGUUAAAGGAGGACAGGUGAAUAAAAUGUGUUAUUAGAAAACUGCCUGGUGGCAUUAAAAAAAAAAAAAAAAUCAGUAAUUUGUUAGCUCUUUGAUAAAGCUGUAGUACUGAACAUGUAAAUGGUUUCCUGACCUUGCCUGAUUUGGUUCCAAUCCUUCAAUGCCUUCUCCCUGGAAGCAGGCAUUUUUUCACUGUAACCAGUCUUUAAUAAAUCAUUAAAACAGUAA